UUAGCGGCGGACGGGUGAGUAACACGUGGGUAACCUGGCCUGUAAGACUGGGAUAACUCCGGGAAACCGGGGCUAAUACCGGAUGCUUGUUUGAACCGCAUGGUUCAAACAUAAAAGGUGGCUUCGGCUACCACUUACAGAUGGACCCGCGGCGCAUUAGCUAGUUGGUGAGGUAAUGGCUCACCAAGGCAACGAUGCGUAGCCGACCUGAGAGGGUGAUCGGCCACACUGGGACUGAGACACGGCCCAGACUCCUACGGGAGGCAGCAGUAG
This 273-nucleotide ribosomal RNA is filed under the name Bacillus subtilis. RNAcentral's name for it is "partial 16S ribosomal RNA". It matches the Rfam family "Bacterial small subunit ribosomal RNA", at positions 92 to 357 of the family's 1533-position model. The record is from RNAcentral. Lineage: Bacteria; Bacillati; Bacillota; Bacilli; Caryophanales; Bacillaceae.